GGGGGGUCAUCAUGGCAGGUCGACGAAGCACUUGAGAUUGAAUCUUCGGAUGAGAACUCUUGUGACUGAGUGGCGGACGGGUGAGUAACGCGUGGGUAACCUACCUCAUACAGGGGGAUAACAGUUGGAAACGACCGCUAAUACCGCAUAACCCGCUAGUAUCGCAUGAUACGGACGGAAAAGAUUUAUCGGUAUGAGAUGGACCCGCGUCUGAUUAGCCAGUUGGCAGGGUAACGGCCUACCAAAGCGACGAUCAGUAGCCGGCCUGAGAGGGUGAACGGCCACAUUGGGACUGAGACACGGCCCAAACUCCUACGGGAGGCAGCAGUGGGGAAUAUUGCACAAUGGGGGAAACCCUGAUGCAGCGACGCCGCGUGAGUGAGGAAGUAUUUCGGUAUGUAAAGCUCUAUCAGCAGGGAAGAAAAUGACGGUACCUGACUAAGAAGCCCCGGCUAACUACGUGCCAGCAGCCGCGGUAAUACGUAGGGGGCAAGCGUUAUCCGGAUUUACUGGGUGUAAAGGGAGCGUAGACGGCUAAUCAAGUCAGAAGUGAAAACCCAGGGCUCAACCUUGGGAGUGCUUUUGAAACUGAGUAGCUAGAGUGCAGGAGAGGUAAGCGGAAUUCCUAGUGUAGCGGUGAAAUGCGUAGAUAUUAGGAGGAACACCAGUGGCGAAGGCGGCUUACUGGACUGUAACUGACGUUGAGGCUCGAAAGCGUGGGGAGCAAACAGGAUUAGAUACCCUGGUAGU
Molecule: ribosomal RNA, 750 nt
Filed under: uncultured bacterium
Lineage: Bacteria
Description: bacterial SSU rRNA
Rfam family: Bacterial small subunit ribosomal RNA
Source: RNAcentral